This is a small nuclear RNA of Pteronotus mesoamericanus, 104 nucleotides long. The record is from RefSeq and is a predicted model, not a curated record. Lineage: Eukaryota; Metazoa; Chordata; Mammalia; Chiroptera; Mormoopidae.
UUGCUUCAGCAACAAAUAUAUUAAAAUUAGAAUGAUGCAGAGAAGAUUAGCAUGGCCCUUGAGAAAGGAUGACACACAGAACACAUGAAUCAUUCCAUAUUUUU